This 2552-nucleotide unclassified non-coding RNA is filed under the name Hevea brasiliensis (rubber tree). The record is from RNAcentral. Lineage: Eukaryota; Viridiplantae; Streptophyta; Magnoliopsida; Malpighiales; Euphorbiaceae.
UGCUGAAAACGGUGCCACCAGAAUCACAAUAACAAACACAAAUAUAACAGCUGAAUCAACAUUUUUGUUAACAUGAAAACGUGAUAUACAUUUUCACUGUGCUUAAUAUUGUCAGGAGAUAUGGCUCCUGAAAUUCACAUUGCCAUCCUAACUAAUGCCAUACAAGAUGUCACAGACAUACAAAGUUCAUCAAAUACAAGAAAAAAGGGGAUGAACUGGGCAGGAUCAAAAUUUACGAAUUCAUUGAUUAAAGAAUAUCAAAUGCCUUUGCUUGUAACAAUAUAAAAGUCAAGAUAUUCCUUCCAUUGACAUAUCAUCACCUAUAGAUGUGCUUAAUCUGAAUGCUAGAAACAUUAAGUAGAUUGUUAUGAGACCAACUCCUAACAUCUUGUUAGGGCGCAUGUCAUUCCGUGGUAACACAAUGAGUGACCAAAUAAGCCCUGACAUAAGAAAUCCCAUUGUAUAAAACAAACUGCUAUCGUCAGGAACUUCAUAAGAUUUAGGUCUCCUAGACCAGGCUCCAAGUAGCAUUGACAGUCCCAACCCAACAAUUGUGUUGAACAUAGGGCCUGCAUAGCACCCUGACAUUGCAAUUUGCACGCUGUCUCCACCAUUCAUCGCCAAUCCAAAAUUUGACAUCAAAUCGCCCAUCGAGUUUCCCCAUGCCAAUACAGUUAAGCCAAGGAGUGAUGGAUCAAUUCCAAAUAUUAUACCUAAUGCUACAAGCAAAGCAACAAGCUCAUUCGCAACAAUGUAGAACCAGAUGAUACUCAUAAAGAAUCCCCCCAGAACCCAUGGAAAUAGAAACUUGCGUGGCGGUUCAUCAGCUCUGGUGUACAGAUAUGCAAGAACACCAAGGACACCACCAGAAGCAACACCAAGGAAAUAUGAAAUUUCCCGAUUCAGUAUACCAAUAUCAUCCCGGGUAUUCCAUAAAAGCGCCAGAAGAAUGGGUGCCAAUGUAGCACUGGCAACAGCAUACCCUUUCGACCAUCGUUCCUCCUCAACUAUAGGAAUUGUCAAUCUUCUCAGGAGUGUCAAUGGCAUCUCCAGCAAGCAAAACAAGUUUGAACAGGAGCAGGAAGAUUGAUCGUUCACUGUUUCCACCUCAUUCCAACCCCAUUCAUUAUUUGGGCUAUCUGAACUCUCUUUCACAACUUCAUCAGAAUAAAUUGCCACAUGUGACGCCCACAUCCAGUGAGGCAGCUUAUUUUGGAGAUGUGGUACAUCACUUUUGGAGUCAGACUCCAGUAAUGACGCAUAAACUGAUUCAUCAUCUUCACUUCCCCGAGAAAAUAUACUUUCCUUCACAGGAAGCAAUUGUGUUACAGCACCCAAUCUCAAUCUCCAGGCAUGUUUCUUGAAAAUCUCAAUUGCUGCAACUGCAAAUGCAUAAAUAAAAUAAAUCGAAACAAAUGCUAUUGCACCUCCAACAGUCACCUUACCAACAAUCAAAACUAUACCAAGUGAUAGAAGAGCAAACAGAAAGAAGCAUACAUCUCUAAUAAAACAUGUCCUAUCAAUCUGAAUACUCCUCUCUGCAACACAAAGAGAGACCGUACCUACAACAAUACAAGUAACAAAAACGGCUCCCCCUAAGACACUAUUGAGACCCACUUCCCCUGUAUCCUUACCAGAAAAAGCAGCAAUACUAGCAAACACAUCAGGGGCUCCAUUCCCCAAUGGCAGCAGAGAAACACCAGCAACAGUUGGCGGCAACUUCAACAGAUUCGAUAGCUUCUCCAAGGAACAACAAAAGUAAUCCGCGGCAGUAUUUCCCAACAGAUAAAAAAGAGACACAAGCCACAGACCCAACACUAUAUAACCCAAAAUUGCAAAUUUAUGGCAAUCACAAUAGAAAAACCUAAUGUAAUUGAAAAAGCCACCUGAAGUGCACUCAGGGUGAGCAAUCAAAUAUUCACAGUGACUACUAUAGUCCUUGUGCUCAAACAACCCAGCACACACUUUCGGAUCAGUAUGCGGGACGAAAGUCGCGUCAUUGAGAGAGGUAGUAACAUUAAUUUCAGAAAUUCCCCUGCCUCUCAAGCUCCAUCGUUGAGUGAGAGUACGAGGCCAAGGCGAAUUAAGGAGAAACGGAUUCUGAGGAGAAUUCUUCUGAUUGUACAAUAAAAAAAGCAACACCGAAAACCAUAUUCCAUUGAAAAUUCCACGGAAUUGGGAACGCCGAAUUCCGUUAAACCGAUUUGGUUCUGCCAUAUUGGGCAGACGAUAGAAAUAAAAGUAUGAGAUUGGGAUUGCCGUAAAGCCGAAAUGGCAAAUAGGGAAAUUAUAAGAACAAAAUGGAGAAAGAGACAGCAAGGAAAGGCGGGAAUAUUGGUGGGGUUAAGGAGGUGAGCUUCGUCCUUCUUGGAGAUACAGAGAGAGAAUUUCCGCGUAGCUUCUUGGUGAAAUUUGUCCGUGGAUGGGGAGUUGGCGGGUUGCAGAGAGGCUUUCUCAGGUACGGCGAUGGUGAAUUCCAAUUGCGGUGCUUUGUUGUUUUCAUGUCACAGGAGCGAUUAUGGCUGCUUUCUCCUAUUCCUGCUCUGUUGUUG